UAGGGAAUCUUCCACAAUGGACGCAAGUCUGAUGGAGCAACGCCGCGUGAGUGAAGAAGGUCUUCGGAUCGUAAAGCUCUGUUGUUGGUGAAGAAGGAUAGAGGCAGUAACUGGUCUUUAUUUGACGGUAAUCAACCAGAAAGUCACGGCUAACUACGUGCCAGCAGCCGCGGUAAUACGUAGGUGGCAAGCGUUGUCCGGAUUUAUUGGGCGUAAAGCGAGCGCAGGCGGAAUGAUAAGUCUGAUGUGAAAGCCCACGGCUCAACCGUGGAACUGCAUCGGAAACUGUCAUUCUUGAGUGCAGAAGAGGAGAGUGGAACUCCAUGUGUAGCGGUGGAAUGCGUAGAUAUAUGGAAGAACACCAGUGGCGAAGGCGGCUCUCUGGUCUGCAACUGACGCUGAGGCUCGAAAGCAUGGGUAGCGAACAGGAUUAGAUACCCUGGUAGUCCAUGCCGUAAACGAUGAGCGCUAGGUGUUGGGGACUUUCCGGUCCUCAGUGCCGCAGCAAACGCAUUAAGCGCUCCGCCUGGGGAGUACGACCGCAGGGUUGAAAC
Molecule: ribosomal RNA, 554 nt
Filed under: uncultured bacterium
Lineage: Bacteria
Description: partial 16S ribosomal RNA
Rfam family: Bacterial small subunit ribosomal RNA
Source: RNAcentral